This 1053-nucleotide long non-coding RNA is filed under the name Physcomitrium patens. Its description in RNAcentral is "long non-coding RNA (PPAT_LNC011067)". Lineage: Eukaryota; Viridiplantae; Streptophyta; Bryopsida; Funariales; Funariaceae. The record is from RNAcentral.
AAAUUAACAAAUUAUUUUAUCCAAAAACUUUACUAGACUUAUUUUUUGUCAAAAAUUUAUUUGAUAGGUAUAUUAGAUAUUCAAAAGUGUCAUAUGGAUGAUAUAAUUUAUUUACUUUGAUACUUAGUAAGAACAAUAAAUUAUAAUAUUUUAUAUUAUAUGAAAGAAUCUAAUAUUUUUUUUGGCUAUAUUAUUUUUCUUAGCUCAAAGAAUGUACUAAUUAAAAAUCUACAUCAAGCUAUGUAUUUUCUUUGAGGUCUUGCCAAUUACCUAUAGUUCUAAACAAAUAAUUGAUUGUUAUGCUAUUGUAAUACGUGAAGUCUUGCUUCAGAAUGCUCCAAGUACUUGGCUGUGGAAAGUAGAAUAGAAAUUGCAACAACAAAAUCCUAAUUCUAAUAGAACACUAACAAUGCUAAAGAAGCUUUAAUUAAAUUCAAAGAAACCUCAAAGGAAUUCCAAAGUAACAAUAAAAAAUCUUAAAGAAAUAUUAGAAUGAUAACAAAUAUAUCUCAAAUACAUCUUAAUUCAAUCUUAAUUUAAUCCUAGUUGAAAUCUUACUUCAUUCAAACUUUAGGCCAAAAACUAACUAAAUCUUAAAUUCUAAAUAAAUUCAAAUAAAAUCCUAUACUCUAAAUCAAAUCUUGAUUAAAUCCUAACAAAACCUUAAAUCCCAAAUCAAAUCCUAAAUCCUAAAUCAAACCCUAAUCAAAUUCUAAAUCCUAAACUAAAUCCUAAUCAUAAAUCAAAUCCUAAAUCAAAUCCUAAUUUUACAUCAAAUCUUAAUCAAAUCCUAAUCAAAUCCUAAUCAAAUCUUAAACCCUAAUCCUAAAUCAAAUCCUAACCAAAUCCCAAUCCUAAUCCUAAAUCCUAAACUAAACCCUAACCAAACUCUAACCAAACUCUAACCAAACCUUGAUCCUAAACCAAACCCUAACCAAAUCCUAAAUCCUAAACCAAAUCCUAAUCUUAAAUCAAAUCCUAAUCAAAUCUAAACCUUAAUCCUAAAUCCUAAAUCAAAUCCUAAUGAAUCCCUAUCCCUAGAUCAAAUCCUAA